GUCCUCCGUGAUCUCUGCGGCAUCCUCAGCAGGGAGCACCAUGGUGCCUGUGGAGAAGAGCAGAGACUGCGAGACAGGGGAAGAAAGAAGCAUCAGGUAGCUGAGAUGGCUCUGCUGCUUCUCCUACCGCAUGUACGGACUGCCAGGGACCAGGGAGCACAAUGAUGGACACCGUAUUAGCAAGCUCACUAACCCAGGUUGUGGUCACAAAGCAGAGGAGGCUCUGAGUCCGAGAGAGUGAGUUGUUGAACACAGCAGCCCAGGCUCGAGUUUGAGUCAAGCCGAUGAGCUUCAGUGCAAAGGCUGCGCUUCUACUCUCCAUCAGACACAGGACCGAAGUAGUGGAAGCUGAACAGUGAAAUGACAUGAAGACGCGCUCUCCUCUGCUGUGUGCCUGGGCAUUUCUUGCCCGGGGUUGUGCUGUUUUGGGGGCCGACACGUGCUGAGCUGGGUCGCAGCCCGCAGCCUGGACCGUGCUCGUCUGGGGGCUGCUGCCCGAGUCUCUGCCCGGGGAAGGUGGUGUCGGGUGCGUGCGGAGCCGGGUCCCUUCCAGGAUCCAGCCCAGGGAGCAGGGAAGUGGAGCUGUGCAGAAACAUCGGACGCUCCUCUGGCCUUGCAGGUUUGCUCCAGGUACCCCCGCACUCCUGGGUGAGUGGGUGGCUGGGGCUGGGUGUUUCUUUCCCUUUUUUUUCUUUUUUUUUUCUUUUUUUUUUUUUUUUUUGUCAGAUUGGUAUUUUAUUUGGCUCCAUACUGUCUACCGAGCUGUCCAGUGUAACCCUUCCCUUGCUGCUUCUGAGAUAAGAAUAGGCUCCCCCGAGAUCAGAUAAACAGGCCC
Molecule: long non-coding RNA, 835 nt
Organism: Harpia harpyja (harpy eagle)
Lineage: Eukaryota; Metazoa; Chordata; Aves; Accipitriformes; Accipitridae
Exons: 3
Source: RefSeq, a predicted model, not a curated record